RNAcentral lists this long non-coding RNA (527 nucleotides) under Acyrthosiphon pisum (pea aphid). Its description in RNAcentral is "uncharacterized LOC103310158". Lineage: Eukaryota; Metazoa; Arthropoda; Insecta; Hemiptera; Aphididae. The record is from RNAcentral.
AAAUUUAAACAUGCUUUACAUUUUUCUUGUGCUUCGACCACACUCGUAAUUUCUUUUGAUAUUUGUAUACUACCAUAAAUUGUAUACUAUUAAAAAUGAUUAAUGGCAUAUCUUCACAAAAUAAUUCAUUAUACAUACCAGAUACAUUUGAAAAGUUAAUAAUUUUCUAAACUGGUUGAGUCGACUUCGUCUUGCAAACAUAUUUUAUUGUAGAAAUAUUAUUUUUGUCAUUUAAUUGUUAUGCUCACUGCUAAGAUUCUAAAAAACAUCAAUUGGCAAUCUUUGUCAUUUAAUUGUUAUGCUCACUGCCAAGUUUCUUUCUCAAUGGAUUUUAUAAAAUGUAAAAAUAUCAACAAAUUCCUGUGUGUUGUCCUCUUAAUAUGAAAUCCAACAGCUCAACAAUUUGAAUUAUGGUUACCUAUACUUUAUUUAGUUUAAGUAUUUACUAUUAAGAUUAUGUCAUUUAUAUUGGUAUAUAGAUAAUAUUGAAUUUUUGUGUUUAAGAUAUCUGUGAAUUGUAUUGUUAA